RNAcentral lists this long non-coding RNA (1389 nucleotides) under Mytilus galloprovincialis (Mediterranean mussel). Lineage: Eukaryota; Metazoa; Mollusca; Bivalvia; Mytilida; Mytilidae. The record is from RNAcentral.
GCGUCUGUCGCAAAUACAAAAUUUCAAUCCUGGUAUCUAUGAUGAGUUUUUUCCAGUUGCUUAUAUUGUUUAUCGUUCUGGACAAAAACAUUUAAUUCAAACCAACUACGCACAUCUGAGUAGAACAAGCUAAGAUCUGUUAUGAAGCAAACGUUCAUAUCUGAUUGAUACUAAAGUUAUUUGCCUAACAUCUACAAUGCAAAUAUCUUAUGUAUACUCAGGACAAAGGUAGAUUCAAGAAAGUGGAGUCCAAAAUGCCUGAAAAAAAUCAAGUGUAAGACUAUAUGUCAACCAACGGAAUAGAUGGACAAAAAUUGUCAUAUGCCUAACUUGGUAUAGACAGUUUUCAAAAGAAAACAGUUUUCCCUGAAUGUGACCUACCGAGUUGGACUUAUCACUGGAAUGGUACAUAUAUGAACAACUCGACGGGUGAUACAUUUAGAUCAGAUUCUCUUAACCCUUCCGGAGCAUCUGAGAUUACCCUGGUUAGUUGAUUGAGUUCAACUUGCUCAGUUUUAGGUUUUCUAUGUUGUGUUUUGUACACUGUUGAUUAUUUUUUGGUCUUUUUAUUAUUUUUUUUCUUUUUGACAUGGCGUUGUCAGUUUAUUUUCAAAUUCAGUUUUAAUGUCCCUUUGGUAUAAUUCUCCUCUUUUUAAACAUUUGUUUCAUCAAUGUAUAAGGUGGCAUUCAAAAGUUGUUAUUACUGUGAUUUGAUUUUUUUUAACAAACCUUCACGACUAAAGAAAGGACUUCAAUUUCCUUUCAUUCUUUUUUUUUGCCAGUAGCAAUAUACCAAUAGCGUUGAAUUUGAUAUUGAGUAUACAUCUAUUAAAAUCCCCGGGUUUUCUUUGCUUUUUAGAGUAAUUUUGCAAAUGUUUGUUUGUACGAAAAAAAAUUAUAAUUCAACUCAUAGUAAGUUUUAGCCGCUCCAUCAUAUAAUCUUAGAUGGACGUCAUAGAUGACAACGAAUAUGUGCAGUUUUCGUAAUUCAAUUCUUUUUGUCUUUUCUACAAGACAGACGAAAUAUCCAGAAGUCACAUUCAAAUUCAAAAUCCGAAAAUUCACUGUCAACGCAAUGGCUGACAAAAAGUCAAACAAACAACAUUACAUAAAACACAACAUAAAAAAAAACAAAAAGCUAAGAAAACCGGAACACACCAAAAACUGUCAGUAUAUGAUAUAAAACGUUUUGCUGUCGAGUCUGUACAUCGAUUUAACAAGGCGGUGGGUAAUGGCUUGAAUUUGAAUCAACAAAUUAUAUUUCAAUUGACUCCACAAAUAUGCAAAGUUUCAUAUGAAUUAUUGAAUUAGUGAAAACCAAAUGCUUACAUUUUUUUUUUUGUCAUCGCAGCUGCAUUGGUCAUUGAGAUUUUGAAAACGAGAAAUUGU